RNAcentral lists this unclassified non-coding RNA (137 nucleotides) under Plectosphaerella sp. CE11Za2. Its description in RNAcentral is "ITS1". RNAcentral also lists the same sequence under 2 other names. Lineage: Eukaryota; Fungi; Ascomycota; Sordariomycetes; Glomerellales; Plectosphaerellaceae. The record is from RNAcentral.
CUGAGUACUACACUCUCUACCCUUUGUGAACUAUUAUACCUGUUGCUUCGGCGGCGCCCGCGAGGGUGCCCGCCGGUCUCAUCAGAAUCUCUGUUUUCGAACCCGACGAUACUUCUGAGUGUUCUUAGCGAACUGUC